Long non-coding RNA from Acanthopagrus latus (yellowfin seabream), 2532 nucleotides. RefSeq lists it as uncharacterized. The transcript is spliced from 3 exons. Lineage: Eukaryota; Metazoa; Chordata; Actinopteri; Spariformes; Sparidae. The record is from RefSeq and is a predicted model, not a curated record.
UUAAUUAAAUUCAGAGAUAAAAGACUUUCAUUAAUAAAGUACAUCAUCUAAAUAAACUGCCAUAAUUGAUAAAAUACAUAAAGUAGAGUCAAGACGUCUGAGCCCACCAGUCAAAACACCUCCAGUUUUUAAGAAUGCAUCAUAUUGAAUGAUAUCAUCAUGUUUUCCCUGUGAAAACUCCUCGGGUGCAUCAUCACUCAAACCCAAUGAACUCAGCUACAUUCCACCGCUGCGUGUUUGUUUAAGUCAUAAUCUACCGUAUGUUUGCUUUGUUACCCAGUGUGCCAAUCCAGAGAACGAGCUAUUUUUAGAGCAAAAGCUUCAAGUAAAUAUGUUUAUUAAAAAGCACAGGAGAGAGUUCUCUCUGUAAUCCCACAAGGAAACCACAGCAUUACUGCAGCAAAGUCAGACAACACAGAAACAAAUACAUUUACAAACGGGCAAGUGAUAUACAAAUUACUAAAAAUAAAGAAAAGUUUUAUUUGAAAACGGCCACACAAGUCACCACAAUGACUCAAAUGUGAAGCGUCACCAUCUCAUUUCAGCGGUGUAGUCAUAGUAAAAGGUCAGGACACAUUAGCUUUCGUGCUACGAACACUGAAAAUACCAUUUCCUUAUUUGUCACUCACACUUCCCGUCUCAUGCAUGUCACCAUUACAUGAUAUUAGCUGCUGUGAAUAUGUGUAAUUAUGUGUUUUCAUUGGAUGCAAUAAUACAAAAAAGGGAGAGAAAGAUCUAUUAUCACUUCCUCUGUCUUGUCAGUGAUGUCCAACACCUGACUUUAAGUCAUGUGGACACGAUGUACUUCCUGUAAAGAUUCGUUGGUUAUUUUAUUCUAUUUUUGGUCACAUGUGAGUGAUCAUGUCGAACGCACAGCUCAUCAUGUGACUGUACCGAGCAUCUAAGGAAGAAGCACGACAGAUGGCCUUGAAGGAAAAAGUUUUUUUGAUAAUGAAGGUUUGUUCUCAGAUCAGGUACAACCGUUGCAUCAUUUGCAAAAACAAAAUCAACAAAUCAACAGACAAAGGUCAAACUAUCCAGAUAAGACAUGUGUAGGAGGGCUGUUCUGACAAACAUUACCUUUAUAAAAUGCAGGAAUUGAUACCCUGAAGAUUAGAGAAGUGGUCCCAUGGCUGGAAAGUAAAAUAUGAAUCCCCGGCAAGAGGGAAACUUCGAGAACAAUGUUUUUCAGCCUCCCUCGAGAAAAAACAGUUGGGGUGCCCUUUAGGAAGGCACCUUGCCUUGCAACUUCUGCUAAAAGGCCGACCGUAGAUGUGGAACAGAGGAAGAGAGAAAGUCCUCAAAGACCAAAGGUUCAUUGGUAACCAGUGAUGGCGUCAUGACAUACAGUACUUGAUAGCUUAAAGGAUCUAACUACGUGGUACUCAGGAGCAAUUCGUAAAACCGGAGGAUUAAACAAAAACUACUGAAUGGAUCUUCGCGAAACUACAAUUGAGGAUGGCUCUCAGCCCAGAAUAGACCCCACUGACUUCAGAUAAAGAGGCGGAUCCAUGAUUGUGUUUCUUUGAAUUUUUUUUUUAAGCAACAUUAUGUUGAAAUUGAGAUUUGCAUAACAGUUCCUGAGAUCAUCACCAAUGUCAUAAAUGCAAAUCCCAGGUCUGGAACAAUUUGUCAGAUGUAAUGUAGGUGAUAACUACAAACAAAUUUCAUGACGUCAUGACAAAGUUGUGUGUUGAAAACUUGUGUUGAAGUAAACAUGUUUGUAACGCUGUGAUCUGACCCUCUAACUGAUGUUAAGUCAAGUGAUUAGACUUGAUUAUACUAAAGGGCUUCGGUGGAGGUAUGCACUCUACCUACUUCCAUUCAGGUUUAUCUCAUCUUAUAGGUUGUUUCUUUCCAAACUGACCUUCUGAAAAAACACAUAAAAAAACAUUUUCUGAUCCGAUGCCACAAUCACAAUGGAGGACAUCCUUUUACUGAGUCAUACAAAACCUUUUACAAAUCACUAUUGAAACUAAAUGAAACUAAAUCCAUUUUAUAAUCUGCUUUGGUUGUGGUUUGAUGAGGUUUUGGCACAGAAAGACCUUUGUAAGGUUGAGGGAAACAUUGUGGUUUGGAUUGAAAUUACUACUUUGGUAAGGUCCGAGGACCUCUGCUGGUAUGGUUACAAAAAUAAAUACAUGGUUAAGGUUGCAAUAACCUCGGAGGGCUUUGUCAUAUAAGCAUGUGUUGUUUUGAAGCAUUUGCUGGAAUGACUGAUUCUGCUGUUUUCCCUGGGAGGACAGUCUUACAACCCCUAACUUUGCUUUUUUGACUAUUCUCAGUGCUGUUAUCGGCCUUUCCAGCUGUUUUUUUUUUUUUUCACAGAAGAGUUCUGAUAAACUCACCGUACAUGACCUGGCCAGCAUCUAACGGUGAGAGACUGUCAGUGUGGAUCCACCUGCAGGGUCAAAAAUAUGGUAUUAUACACUUUAAGUUAAAUAAUGCAAACAUAACUCCUGGUGAAUCAGGUUUUGGAAAACACAUAAAGACCCCUUCAAAAUAAAGAUGUCUGUAUUACAGUUCAGUGUC